AUACGUAGGGUGCAAGCGUUAAUCGGAAUUACUGGGCGUAAAGCGUGCGCAGGCGGUUUUGUAAGACAGUGGUGAAAUCCCCGGGCUCAACCUGGGAACUGCCAUUGUGACUGCAAGGCUGGAGUGCGGCAGCGGGGGAUGGAAUUCCGCGUGUAGCAGUGAAACGCGUAGAUAUGCGGAGGAACACCGAUGGCGAAGGCAAUCCCCUGGGCCUGCACUGACGCUCAUGCACGAAAGCGUGGGGAGCAAACAGGAUUAGAUACCCUGGUAGUCCACGCCCUAAACGAUGUCAACUGGUUGUUGGGUCUUCAUUGACUCAGUAACGAAGCUAACGCGUGAAGUUGACCGCCUGGGGAGUACGGCCGCAAGGUUGAAACUCAAAUGAAUUGACGGGG
RNAcentral lists this ribosomal RNA (395 nucleotides) under uncultured bacterium. Its description in RNAcentral is "partial 16S ribosomal RNA". It matches the Rfam family "Bacterial small subunit ribosomal RNA", at positions 523 to 918 of the family's 1533-position model. The record is from RNAcentral.